Molecule: ribosomal RNA, 433 nt
Filed under: uncultured bacterium
Lineage: Bacteria
Description: partial 16S ribosomal RNA
Rfam family: Bacterial small subunit ribosomal RNA
Source: RNAcentral
AACGAACGCUGGCGGCAUGCCUAACACAUGCAAGUCGAACGAGACCUUCGGGUCUAGUGGCGCACGGGUGCGUAACGCGUGGGAACCUGCCCUUAGGUUCGGAAUAACUCCCCGAAAGGGGUGCUAAUACCGGAUAAUGUCUUCGGACCAAAGAUUUAUCGCCUUUGGUUGGGCCCGCGUUGGAUUAGCUAGUUGGUAGGAUAAAAGCCUACCAAGGCGACGAUCCAUAGCUGGUCUGAGAGGAUGAUCAGCCACACUGGGACUGAGACACGGCCCAGACUCCUACGGGAGGCAGCAGUGGGGAAUAUUGGACAAUGGGCGAAAGCCUGAUCCAGCAAUGCCGCGUGAGUGAUGAAGGCCUUAGGGUUGUAAAGCUCUUUUACCCGGGAUGAUAAUGACAGUACCGGGAGAAUAAGCUCCGGCUAACUCCGUG